Prionailurus viverrinus (fishing cat) is the source of this 391-nucleotide long non-coding RNA. RefSeq lists it as uncharacterized. NCBI's taxonomy places the organism in Eukaryota, Metazoa, Chordata, Mammalia, Carnivora, Felidae. The transcript is spliced from 4 exons. The record is from RefSeq and is a predicted model, not a curated record.
CCAGACUACUGGACGUUUUCACAUGUGCGUAUUUAAUUGCUUGGAAAAUGAGUGGAAGCUUCAAGCAUCUAAAAGACAUUCAACUUCAUCAUCUUUGACAGCCUGGUAAAGUUUGUGGCAUAAGAGAGAAAGAAUGACUUGGAAGCAAGACUGAGGAGUGAGGAGAAUGCUGACCCCAAAUACAGGCCCAGUGGUAUGAAGGUUCCUUGCUUUCUGGCACUAAAAAAUCUCCAGGCCAAUCUUGUAUAAGUCCUGCCCAGACCUACAACCAGCCACCUUGCCAAGGAGUCCUGUCCUUUUAUUGAAGAAUGGUAUAAUAAACAAGAUCCAGGCGUUUGUGCUCUUUCUCUUCUUGAGAGACUUAUUGGACCAUUGUGAAAAUGACUGACAG